Molecule: ribosomal RNA, 579 nt
Filed under: uncultured bacterium
Lineage: Bacteria
Description: partial 16S ribosomal RNA
Rfam family: Bacterial small subunit ribosomal RNA
Source: RNAcentral
UGGGGAAUUUUGGACAAUGGGCGAAAGCCUGAUCCAGCAAUGCCGCGUGUGUGAAGAAGGCCUUCGGGUUGUAAGCACUUUUGUCCGGAAAGAAAUCCUUGGCUCUAAUACAGUCGGGGGAUGACGGUACCGGAAGAAUAAGCACCGGCUAACUACGUGCCAGCAGCCGCGGUAAUACGUAGGGUGCAAGCGUUAAUCGGAAUUACUGGGCGUAAAGCGUGCGCAGGCGGUUUGCUAAGACCGAUGUGAAAUCCCCGGGCUCAACCUGGGAACUGCAUUGGUGACUGGCAGGCUAGAGUAUGGCAGAGGGGGGUAGAAUUCCACGUGUAGCAGUGAAAUGCGUAGAGAUGUGGAGGAAUACCGAUGGCGAAGGCAGCCCCCUGGGCCAAUACUGACGCUCAUGCACGAAAGCGUGGGGAGCAAACAGGAUUAGAUACCCUGGUAGUCCACGCCCUAAACGAUGUCAACUAGUUGUUGGGGGAUUCAUUUCCUAGUAACGUAGCUAACGCGUGAAGUUGACCGCCUGGGGGAGUACGGUCGCAAGAUUAAAACUCAAAUGAAUUGACGGGGUCAUAGCUG